This 67-nucleotide transfer RNA is filed under the name Marmota monax (woodchuck). RNAcentral describes it as "tRNA.Ala". The record is from RNAcentral. Lineage: Eukaryota; Metazoa; Chordata; Mammalia; Rodentia; Sciuridae.
GGUUGUAGCUCAGUGGUAGAGCACUUGCCUCGCAAGUCUGAGGCACUGGGUUUGAUUCUCAGUGCCA